RNAcentral lists this ribosomal RNA (504 nucleotides) under Geobacillus stearothermophilus. RNAcentral's name for it is "bacterial SSU rRNA". It matches the Rfam family "Bacterial small subunit ribosomal RNA", at positions 940 to 1441 of the family's 1533-position model. Lineage: Bacteria; Bacillati; Bacillota; Bacilli; Caryophanales; Anoxybacillaceae. The record is from RNAcentral.
UGUGGUUUAAUUCGAAGCAACGCGAAGAACCUUACCAGGUCUUGACAUCCCCUGACAACCCAAGAGAUUGGGCGUUCCCCCUUCGGGGGGACAGGGUGACAGGUGGUGCAUGGUUGUCGUCAGCUCGUGUCGUGAGAUGUUGGGUUAAGUCCCGCAACGAGCGCAACCCUCGCCUCUAGUUGCCAGCAUUCGGUUGGGCACUCUAGAGGGACUGCCGGCGACAAGUCGGAGGAAGGUGGGGAUGACGUCAAAUCAUCAUGCCCCUUAUGACCUGGGCUACACACGUGCUACAAUGGGCGGUACAAAGGGCUGCGAACCCGCGAGGGGGAGCGAAUCCCAAAAAGCCGCUCUCAGUUCGGAUUGCAGGCUGCAACUCGCCUGCAUGAAGCCGGAAUCGCUAGUAAUCGCGGAUCAGCAUGCCGCGGUGAAUACGUUCCCGGGCCUUGUACACACCGCCCGUCACACCACGAGAGCUUGCAACACCCGAAGUCGGUGAGGUAACCC